This 940-nucleotide small RNA is filed under the name Pongo abelii (Sumatran orangutan). RNAcentral's name for it is "processed transcript". The record is from RNAcentral. Lineage: Eukaryota; Metazoa; Chordata; Mammalia; Primates; Hominidae.
UCCGGCAACUGGGCUGGACCGAAACCGGCGCGGAGCAACUGAGGCCUGAGCCUUCCCGGGACCUGGGGGACGCCUAACCCCGCGAGGAUUGGGAGAACACUUGUGUUCCAGAUCACAGAUGGUGGGGAAAGCUGACACAAGAAUUUGGCAAUGCAGCCACUUCUCUGACAGCAAACCCAGAUGCCACCACAGUAAACAUUGAGGAUCCUGGUGAAACCCCAAAACAUCAGCCAGGAUCCCCAAGAGGCUCAGGAAGAGAAGAAGAUGAUGAGUUACUGGGAAAUGAUGACUCUGACAAAACUGAGUUACUUGCUGGACAGAAGAAAAGCUCCCCCUUCUGGACAUUUGAAUACUACCAAACAUUCUUUGACGUGGACACCUACCAGGUCUUUGACAGAAUUAAAGGAUCUCUUUUGCCAAUACCCGGGAAAAAUUUUGUGAGGUUAUAUAUCCGCAGCAAUCCCGAUCUCUAUGGCCCCUUUUGGAUAUGUGCCACGUUGGUCUUUGCCAUAGCAAUUAGUGGGAAUCUUUCCAACUUCUUGAUCCAUCUGGGAGAGAAGACGUACCGUUAUGUGCCCGAAUUCCGAAAAGUGUCCAUAGCAGCUACCAUCAUCUAUGCCUAUGCCUGGCUGGUUCCUCUUGCACUCUGGGGUUUCCUCAUGUGGAGAAACAGCAAAGUUAUGAACAUCGUCUCCUAUUCAUUUCUGGAGAUUGUGUGUGUCUAUGGAUAUUCCCUCUUCAUUUAUAUCCCUACCGCAAUACUGUGGAUUAUCCCCCAGAAAGCUGUUCGUUGGAUUCUAGUCAUGAUUGCCCUGGGCAUCUCAGGAUCUGUCUUGGCAAUGACAUUUUGGCCAGCUGUUCGUGAGGAUAACCGACGCGUUGCGUUGGCCACAAUUGUGACAAUUGUGUUGCUUCAUAUGCUGCUUUCUGUGGGCUGCUU